This 300-nucleotide ribosomal RNA is filed under the name uncultured bacterium. RNAcentral's name for it is "bacterial SSU rRNA". It matches the Rfam family "Bacterial small subunit ribosomal RNA", at positions 1059 to 1382 of the family's 1533-position model. The record is from RNAcentral.
CUCGUGUCGUGAGAUGUUCGGUUAAGUCCGGCAACGAGCGCAACCCACGUCCCCAGUUGCCAGCAUUCAGUUGGGCACUCUGUGGAAACUGCCGAUGAUAAGUCGGAGGAAGGUGUGGAUGACGUCAAGUCCUCAUGGCCCUUACGGGUUGGGCUACACACGUGCUACAAUGGUAGUGACAAUGGGUUAAUCCCAAAAAGCUAUCUCAGUUCGGAUUGGGGUCUGCAACUCGACCCCAUGAAGUUGGAAUCGCUAGUAAUCGCGGAACAGCAUGCCGCGGUGAAUACGUUCCCGGGCCUU